Non-coding RNA from Pseudomonadales bacterium GWC1_66_9, 112 nucleotides. The record is from Rfam. Lineage: Bacteria; Pseudomonadati; Pseudomonadota; Gammaproteobacteria; Pseudomonadales.
AUGCUCCUUGUUGUGUUAAGUGUUGGCAGAUAUGCGGACUCCCUGGAGUCCGACGUUAAACCCCGAACCUCUUCCUCCCCCAUAUGAAGUUCGGGGUUUUUUUUGUUCCUGA